UACGAAGGGGGCUAGCGUUGUUCGGAAUUACUGGGCGUAAAGCGUGCGCAGGCGGCUUCUCAAGUCAGGGGUGAAAGCCCAGAGCUCAACUCUGGAAUUGCCUUUGAGACUGAGUGGCUUGAGUACGGGAGAGGUGAGUGGAAUUCCCAGUGUAGAGGUGAAAUUCGUAGAUAUUGGGAAGAACACCGGUGGCGAAGGCGGCUCACUGGCCCGUAACUGACGCUCAUGCACGACAGCGUGGGGAUCAAACAGG
Molecule: ribosomal RNA, 253 nt
Filed under: uncultured bacterium
Lineage: Bacteria
Description: partial 16S ribosomal RNA
Rfam family: Bacterial small subunit ribosomal RNA
Source: RNAcentral